This 924-nucleotide long non-coding RNA is filed under the name Triticum aestivum (bread wheat). RNAcentral's name for it is "long non-coding RNA (TAES_LNC017126)". The record is from RNAcentral. Lineage: Eukaryota; Viridiplantae; Streptophyta; Magnoliopsida; Poales; Poaceae.
GGAGAAGAACAAUGCAUGAGAACUGAACUUUCUCAGGUAUGUCAGAUCUCCUAUAGGUUAGCUAUCCAAAAUGAUAUAUAUAUAUAUAUAUAUACUUAGUUACCUAUGUUAUCUCUAAUAUGCUUAGUUUCCUAUAGGUUAGCUUCAUUUUUAACUAAGUUGGCUCUAGUAUACUAACUUAGAGAUUAUAUGCUUAGUUUCCUAUAGGUUAGCUCCAAAAUAACUUAUGUUAGCACAAAAUGAUCAAGUUUACAUAAUAAGCUUAUAGUCUUUUUCUUAUUCUUCUUCUUUUCCAAAAUGACAUAGGUUAGCUUCAUUUUUACCUAAGUUGGCUCUAAUAUACUAACUUAGAGCUUAUAUUCUUAGUUUCCUAUAGGUUAGCUCCAAAAUAACUUAUGUUAGCACAAAAUAAUCAAGUUUACAUAAUAAGCUUAUAGUCUUUUUCUUAUUCUUCUUCUUUUCCAAAAUGACAUAGGUUAGCUUCAUUUUACCUAAGUUGGCUCUAAUAUACUAACUAAGAGCUUAUAUGCUUAGUUUCCUAUAGGUUAUUUCCAAAAUAACUUAUGUUAGCACAAAAUGAUCAAGUUUACAUAAUAAGCUUAUAGUCUUUUUCUUAUUCUUCUUCUUUUCCAAAAUGACAUAGGUUAGCUUCAUUUUACCUAAGUUACCUAAGUUCUUCUUCUUCUAACUUCUUGUUUAUCAUUUUGCAGAUUUGAUUUAAUUGACGGAAGCUUGCGUGGAUGGAGUGCUUCUUUUCCAUUUGUGUUUUUAUUUUGUAUCAAUGUGAAACUUUUUUGAAUUGAUGGAUAACGGCGUUGGAUGAACAAUGUGAAACUUUUGUAAUAUGUAACGAUGGAACUAUGUGUUGGCUAUGUAUGUAUAUAUGAUGAAACUUGUGUGUUGGAUAUGAUUGUUAUAUGGAUU